This 397-nucleotide ribosomal RNA is filed under the name uncultured bacterium. RNAcentral describes it as "partial 16S ribosomal RNA". It matches the Rfam family "Bacterial small subunit ribosomal RNA", at positions 523 to 918 of the family's 1533-position model. The record is from RNAcentral.
AUACGUAGGGGGCGAGCGUUGUCCGGAAUGAUUGGGCGUAAAGGGCGCGUAGGCGGCCCGGUAAGUCUGGAGUGAAAGUCCUGUUUUUAAGAUGGGAAUUGCUUUGGAUACUGUCGGGCUUGAGUGCGGGAGAGGUAAGUGGAAUUCCCAGUGUAGCGGUGAAAUGCGUAGAGAUUGGGAGGAACACCAGUGGCGAAGGCGACUUACUGGACUGUAACUGACGCUGAGGCGCGAAAGUGUGGGGAGCAAACAGGAUUAGAUACCCUGGUGGUCCACACUGUAAACGAUGAAUGCUAGGUGUAGGGGGUAUCGACCCCUUCUGUGCCGCAGUCAACACAAUAAGCAUUCCGCCUGGGGAGUACGGCCGCAAGGUUGAAACUCAAAUGAAUUGACGGGG